Molecule: ribosomal RNA, 460 nt
Filed under: uncultured bacterium
Lineage: Bacteria
Description: partial 16S ribosomal RNA
Rfam family: Bacterial small subunit ribosomal RNA
Source: RNAcentral
CCUACGGGAGGCAGCAGUGAGGAAUAUUGGUCAAUGGGCGCGAGCCUGAACCAGCCAAGUAGCGUGAAGGAUGACUGCCCUAUGGGUUGUAAACUUCUUUUAUAAGGGAAUAAAGUGAGGUACGUGUACCCUUUUGUAUGUAUUUUAUGAAUAAGGAUCGGCUAACUCCGUGCCAGCAGCCGCGGUAAUACGGAGGAUCCGAGCGUUAUCCGGAUUUAUUGGGUUUAAAGGGAGCGUAGGUGGGUUGUUAAGUCAGUUGUGAAAGUUUGCGGCUCAACCGUAAAAUUGCAAUUGAUACUGGCAGCCUUGAGUACAGUAGAGGUAGGCGGAAUUCGUGGUGUAGCGGUGAAAUGCUUAGAUAUCACGAAGAACUCCGAUUGCGAAGGCAGCCUACUGGACUGCAACUGACGCUGAUGCUCGAAAGUGUGGGUAUCAAACAGGAUUAGAUACCCCAGUAGUC